RNAcentral lists this ribosomal RNA (429 nucleotides) under uncultured archaeon. RNAcentral's name for it is "bacterial SSU rRNA". It matches the Rfam family "Archaeal small subunit ribosomal RNA", at positions 474 to 903 of the family's 1478-position model. The record is from RNAcentral.
UACCUGCAGCUCAAGUGGUGACCGUUAUUAUUGGGCCUAAAACGUUCGUAGCCGGUUUAUUAAAUGCCUGGGUAAAUCGCGUAGCUUAACUAUACGAAUUCCGGGUAGACUGAUAGACUUGAGACUGGGAGAAGCUAGAGGUACUCCUGGGGUAGAGGUGAAAUUCUGUAAUCCUAGGGGGGCCACCGGUGGCGAAGGCGUCUAGCUAGAACGGGUCUGACGGUGAGGAACGAAGCCCUGGGGCGCAAACGGGAUUAGAUACCCCGGUAGUCCAGGGUGUAAACGCUGCUUGCUUGACGUUAGUUGGGCCCCGAGCCCAAUUAGUGUCGGAGCGAAGGUGUUAAGCAAGCUGCCUGGGAAGUACGAUCGCAAGAUUGAAACUUAAAGGAAUUGGCGGGGGAGCACAGCAACGGGUGGAGCGUGCGGUUU